GUCGGAGCUGUUGUACAUCACAGCGUUCUGGAACAUGAGCAUCAGGUCACACUGGAACUGCAUCACGGACUGGAUGUGUCCCUUUGACAGCCUCCUCUUUAUGCUGCUUAAAUCCAUGGGCCUACAAAAGACAGAGAGGAGAAGAAUGAAACUGCAACCCAGGGCCUGGCAUCCUUUGGGAUCUGCAUGAGUGUGCUUGUUCUCAUUUCAGGGUGGCCCUGAAAGCACAGCUAUUUUCAAUCAAUUUUAUUGCUUAAGACACACAGGGGGGAGUGAGAAAGGCUUUUCUUCUGAGCCAGACAAAAGUGAGUUCAGCCAAUGCGACACUUGCUAUCCAAUCAACUUGGCAGGUCAUUAGCAGUCACCUCUGGAAAAAAUGGGAUGCUGGGCUCCAGAGAAGGCAAGCAGUAAUUAGUCUUCAGGAAGUCAGUCCAGGUCUUAGUGGAGAAAGAAAAGUUACUAAAAUAGGUAUCUAUUAAACCCCCUAAAGAUCGAAUGGUGCCACCAGCAAAAAUAGCAGUGCUGGUAAGGGGAACAUGAUAGGGAAUAAAUAUUACUUCCCUUACUUUGACAGAAUGGGAAAAUGAAUGGCUGCAGAGAGGACAGCUGUGACCAGAAUAGAACAUGAUUCAGCUCUGAAAAAAUGCCGUUAAUCUCUCUGGGAAAUAUUCUUGUGACCCACUUCUGUGCUGAGAGUGAAACAUCUGGGGCGCUCGCAGCGGGACUGCUAGCACAGCUCCACAUUCAGCUUAUGGUGCAUAACUGGGAGAAACACAGAAUCCACUGGGUCUGGGAUGAGAAAACUGCUUUGCUUAUUUUGUGAACUUGCAAGCAGAGUUUGGAUCUGAAAGCCUGUCCUUCUGAAACCUCUUUCAAAGUUCACUUCAGAUGAAAUUUGAUGAACAGAGACAGUGGCAGGGCAGAGGUGUUGGAGAUGGUGCCAGACUCUUCUCAGAGCCCAAAGUGACAGGAGACAGGGAUGACAAGCUGCACCACAGGAAAGUCUGACUGGGUGUAAGGUAAAUAUUUGAAGCUGGCCCUGCUCUGAGCAGCUGAAUGAAGUAAGGGAAUGCACAGAGGUUCUUUCCAACUUAGAAUCGUGGAACAGGUUGGGUUGGGAGGGACCUUUAAAGGCUGACUGGGUCCUGCCCCCUGCCAUGGGCAGGGACACCUUCCACAAUUCCAAGCUGUUCAGAGCCUCGUCCAACUUGGCCUCCAACACUUCAGGGAUGGGGCAUCCACAGCUUCUCUGGGUAACCUGUGCCAGGGCCUCCUCACUGUAAAAAAAAUCUUCACUCAGUCUAAAUGGGCCCUCUUAUACUUUAGAACCAUUACCUUGUCCUGUCACAACAGGCAGUGCUAAAAUGUUUGUCCCUAACUGAAAUCACUCCAUAAAGCAUGAAAAACUAAGCCUCUGUAA
Molecule: long non-coding RNA, 1420 nt
Organism: Passer domesticus (house sparrow)
Lineage: Eukaryota; Metazoa; Chordata; Aves; Passeriformes; Passeridae
Exons: 3
Source: RefSeq, a predicted model, not a curated record